Molecule: ribosomal RNA, 381 nt
Filed under: Klebsiella pneumoniae subsp. pneumoniae
Lineage: Bacteria; Pseudomonadati; Pseudomonadota; Gammaproteobacteria; Enterobacterales; Enterobacteriaceae
Description: partial 23S ribosomal RNA
Rfam family: Bacterial large subunit ribosomal RNA
Source: RNAcentral
AGGUCAAGCGAACAAGGGCGCAGGGCGAAUGCCUUGGCACUGGGAGCCGAUGAAAGACGUGAUAAGCUGCGAUAAGCUUCGGGGAGCUGCAAAUAAGCAUUGAUCCGGAGAUUUCUGAAUGAGGAAACUCACCUGGGUUCAUACUCAGGUACGUUAUACUGAACUUAAAAAUAGGUAUAUCGAGGGAACCGCCUGAACUGAAACAUCUAAGUAGGGCGAGGAAGAGACAUCAAACGAGAUUCCGUAAGUAGUGGCGAGCGAACGCGGAAGAGGGCAAACCGGAAGUAGAAAUACUUCCGGGGUACGGACCGCAUUUAGGACUUGAGUUGUUAACCGAACGGCAUGGGAAGGCCGGUCAGAGAGUGUGAGAACCACGUAGGU